UGAACGGAAUAUGUUAGCUUGCUAAUAUAUUUAGUACCAAAUGGGUGAGUAACACGUACCUAACCUACCUUUUGGACCGGGAUAACCAUUGGAAACAGCGGCUAAUACCGGAUAUAAUAAAAAAAUGCAUGUUUUUUUAUCAAAAGAAGCCUUUAAAGCUUCACCAAAAAAUGGGGGUGCGCAACAUUAGUUAGUUGGUAGGGUAAAGGCCCACCAAGACGAUGAUGUUUAGCGGGGCCAAGAGGCUGUACCGCCACACUGGGAUUGAGAUACGGCCCAGACUCCUACGGGAGGCAGCAGUAAGGAAUAUUCCACAAUGAGCGAAAGCUUGAUGGAGCGACACAGAGUGCAGGA
Molecule: ribosomal RNA, 354 nt
Filed under: Mesomycoplasma ovipneumoniae
Lineage: Bacteria; Bacillati; Mycoplasmatota; Mycoplasmoidales; Metamycoplasmataceae
Description: Mycoplasma ovipneumoniae partial 16S ribosomal RNA
Rfam family: Bacterial small subunit ribosomal RNA
Source: RNAcentral